This 675-nucleotide ribosomal RNA is filed under the name uncultured Acidovorax sp. Its description in RNAcentral is "bacterial SSU rRNA". It matches the Rfam family "Bacterial small subunit ribosomal RNA", at positions 60 to 732 of the family's 1533-position model. The record is from RNAcentral. Lineage: Bacteria; Pseudomonadati; Pseudomonadota; Betaproteobacteria; Burkholderiales; Comamonadaceae.
AGUCGAACGGUAACAGGUCUUCGGAUGCUGACGAGUGGCGAACGGGUGAGUAAUACAUCGGAACGUGCCCGAUCGUGGGGGAUAACGGAGCGAAAGCUUUGCUAAUACCGCAUACGAUCUACGGAUGAAAGCAGGGGACCGCAAGGCCUUGCGCGGACGGAGCGGCCGAUGGCAGAUUAGGUAGUUGGUGGGAUAAAAGCUUACCAAGCCGACGAUCUGUAGCUGGUCUGAGAGGACGACCAGCCACACUGGGACUGAGACACGGCCCAGACUCCUACGGGAGGCAGCAGUGGGGAAUUUUGGACAAUGGGCGAAAGCCUGAUCCAGCCAUGCCGCGUGCAGGAUGAAGGCCUUCGGGUUGUAAACUGCUUUUGUACGGAACGAAAAGACUCCUUCUAAUAAAGGGGGUCCAUGACGGUACCGUAAGAAUAAGCACCGGCUAACUACGUGCCAGCAGCCGCGGUAAUACGUAGGGUGCAAGCGUUAAUCGGAAUUACUGGGCGUAAAGCGUGCGCAGGCGGUUAUAUAAGACAGAUGUGAAAUCCCCGGGCUCAACCUGGGAACUGCAUUUGUGACUGUAUAGCUAGAGUACGGUAGAGGGGGAUGGAAUUCCGCGUGUAGCAGUGAAAUGCGUAGAUAUGCGGAGGAACACCGAUGGCGAAGGCAAUCCCCUGG